RNAcentral lists this ribosomal RNA (429 nucleotides) under Gemmatimonadota bacterium. Its description in RNAcentral is "Gemmatimonadetes bacterium partial 16S ribosomal RNA". It matches the Rfam family "Bacterial small subunit ribosomal RNA", at positions 355 to 776 of the family's 1533-position model. Lineage: Bacteria; Pseudomonadati; Gemmatimonadota. The record is from RNAcentral.
UAGGGAAUCUUCUGCAAUGGACGAAAGUCUGACCGAGCAACGCCGCGUGAGUGAAGAAGGUUUUCGGAUCGUAUAACUCUGUUGUUAGAGAAGAACAAGGACGUUAGUAACUGAACGUCCCCUGACGGUAUCUAACCAGAAAGCCACGGCUAACUACGUGCCAGCAGCCGCGUUAAUACGAAGGUUGCAAGCGUUGUCCGGAUUUAUUGGGCGUAAAGCGAGCGCAGGCGGUUUCUUAAGUCUGGUGUGAAAGCCCCCGGCUCAACCGGGGAGGGUAAUUGGAAACUGGGAGUCAGGAGUGCAAAAGAGGAGAGUGGAAUUCCAUGUGUAGCGGUGAAAUGCGUAGAUAUAUGGAGGAACAACAGUGGCGAAGGCGGCUCUCUGGUCUGUAGCUGACGCUGAGGCUCGAAAGCGUGGGGAGCAAACAGG